This is a long non-coding RNA of Acanthochromis polyacanthus (spiny chromis), 9601 nucleotides long. RefSeq lists it as uncharacterized. The record is from RefSeq and is a predicted model, not a curated record. Lineage: Eukaryota; Metazoa; Chordata; Actinopteri; Pomacentridae. The transcript has 3 exons.
AUGGAAACAUGGAGUGUUAAGGAACCAGAGAACCAGAGUGAACCUCCAGCUCUGCUUUAAUGUGAUUGGACAGAAGCAGAGGAGCUGGAUUACCUCAGCAGAUUAUCUGCUGUCCAUCAAACUGGAUUAGAACGGAUUAGAGAGCAGCGGCCUCAGCAGAACAACCUGACCGAGUUCAUUCACUGCUCUAGCGGGUAGAACAACAGGUAGAACCACUGAUAGAACAACUGGUAGAACAACAGGUAGAACAAUAGGUGGAACAACAGGUAGUACAACUAGUAGAACAACCUGCUGCUCCAGCAGACAUUCAGGAAUAACUCUGGACAGGAAGUCAUGUGAUGGAUGAUAAACUUUUGAAGGAAAUUAUUUGAUCUGGAUUUUUGUCCGGAAGAACUUUAUUAAAUUUGUUAAAGAACCAAAAUGCACGUUUCAGUAAUUCCAUCAUAAAAACAUCAAAGUUGUAGCAGUCGGAGGAACGUCCGAGUUCUAGGAGUCUGAGGAACGUCUGAGUUCUAGCAGUCUGAGGAACGUCCGAGUUCUAGGAGUCUGAGGAACGUCUGAGUUCUAGGAAUCUGAGGAACGUCUGAGUUCUAGCAGUCUGAGGAAAGUCUGAGUUCUAGGAGUCUGAGGAACGUCUGAGGUCGAGCAGUUUGAGGAACAUCUGAGGUGUAGUAGCCUGAGGAACGUCUCAGUUCUAGCAGUCUGAAGAACGUCUGAGUUCUAGGAUUCUGAUGAACAUCUGAGUUCUCGGAGUCUGAGGAACAUCCGUGAUCUAGAAGUCUGAGGAAUGUCUGAGUUCUAGCAAUCUGAGGAACGUCUGAGUUCUAGGAAUCUGAGCAACGUCUGAGUUCUAGCAGUUUGAGGAAUGUCUGAGUUCCAGCAGUUUGAGGAACAUCUGCGGUCUUGCAGUGUGAGGAACGUCUGAGUUCUAGCAGUCUGAGGAACGUCUGAGUUCUAGCAGUCUGAGGAACGUCUGAGUUCUAGCAGUCUGAGGAACGUCUGAGUUCCAGCAGUGUCACGAACAUCUGCGGUCUCACAGUCUGAGGAACGUCUGAGUUCUAGCAGUCUGAGGAAUGUCUGAGUUCUAGGAUUCUGAGGAACGUCUGAGUUCUAGGAGUCUGAGGAACGUCUGAGUUCUCGGAGUCUUAGGAGCGUCUGAGUUCUAGGAGUCUGAGGAACGUCUGAGUUCUAGGAGUCUGAGGAAUGUCUGAGUUCUAGAAAUAUGAGGAACAUCUGGGUACAAGCAGUCUGAGGAACGUCUGAGUUCUCGGAGUCUUAGGAACGUCUGAGUUCAAGGAGUCUGAGGAACGUCUGAGUUCUAGCAGUCUGAGGAAUGUCUGAGUUCUAGAAAUAUGAGGAACAUCUGGGUACAAGCAGUCUGAGGAACGUCUGAGUUCUCGGAGUCUUAAGGAACGUCUGAGUUCUAGGAGUCUGAGGAACGUCUGAGUUCUAGGAGUCUGAGGAACGUCUGAGUUCUAAGAGUCUGAGGAAUGUCUGAGUUCUAGCAGUCUGAGGAACAUCUCAGUUCUAGGAUUCUGAGGAACGUCUGAGUUUGAGCAGUCUGAGGAAUGUCUGAGAUCGAGGACAGUGAAUAACAUCUGAGUUCUAGCAGUCUGAGGAACGUCUGAGUUCUUGGAUUCUGAGGAACGUCUGAGUUCUAGCAGUUUGAGGAACUUCUGAGGUCUAGGAGACUGAGGAACAUCUGAGUUCUAGGAGUCUGAGGAACGUCUGAGUACUAGGAGUCUGAGGAACGUCUGAGUUCUAGCAGUAUGAGGAAUGUCUGAGUUCUAGCAGUGUGAGGAAUGUCUGAGUUCCAGCAGUUUGAGGAACAUCUGCGGUCUUGCAGUGUGAGGAACGUCUGAGUUCUAGCAGUCUGAGGAACGUCUGAGUUCUAGCAGUCUGAGGAACAUCUGAGUUCAAGGAGUCUGAGGAACGUCUGAGUUCUAGCAGUGUCACGAACAUCUGCGGUCUACCAGUCUGAGGAACGUCUGAGUUCUAGCAGUCUGAGGAAUGUCUGAGUUCCAGGAAUCUGAGGAACGUCUGAGUUCUAGCAGUCUGAGGAACGUCUGAGAUCUAGCAGUCUGAGGAACGUCCGAGUUCUAGCAGUCUGAGGAACGUCUGAGUUCCAGGAAUCUGAGGAACGUCUGAGUUCUAGCAGUCUGAGGAAUGUCUGAGUUCCAGGAGUCUGAGGAAUGUCUGAUUCCUAGGAGUCUGAGGAACAUCUGAGUUCUAGGAUUCUGAAGAACGUCUGAGUUGUAGGAGACUGAGGAACAUCUGAGUUCUAAGAGUAUGAGGAAUGUCUGAGUUCCAGCAGUCUGAGGAACGUCUGAGAUCUAGGAGACUGAAUAACAUCUGAGUUCUAGCAGUCUGAGGAACGUCUGAGUUCUAGGAUUCUGAGGAACGUCUGAGUUCUAGCAGUCUGAGGAACGUCUGAGUUCUAGGAGACUGAGGAACAUCUGAGUUCUAGCAGUCUGAGGAACGUCUGAGUUCCAGCAGUGUCACGAACAUCUGCGGUCUCACAGUCUGAGGAACGUCUGAGUUCUAGCAGUCUGAGGAAUGUCUGAGUUCUAGCAGUCUGAGGAAUGUCUGAGUUCUAGGAUUCUGAGGAACAUCUGAGUUCUAGCAGUCUGAGGAAUGUCUGAGUUCUAGGAUUCUGAGGAACAUCUGAGUUCUCGGAGUCUGAGGAACAUCUGAGAUCAAGCAGUCUGAGGAACGUCUGAGUUCUCGGAGUCUUAGGAGCGUCUGAGUUCUAGGAGUCUGAGGAACGUCUGAGUUCUAGGAGUCUGAGGAACGUCUGAGUUCUCGGAGUCUUAGGAGCGUCUGAGUUCUAGGAGUCUGAGGAACGUCUGAGUUCUAGGAGUCUGAGGAACGUCUGAGUUCUCGGAGUCUUAGGAGCGUCUGAGUUCUAGGAGUCUGAGGAACGUCUGAGUUCUAGGAGUCUGAGGAACGUCUGAGUUCAAGGAGUCUGAGGAACGUCUGAGUUCUAGCAGUCUGAGGAAUGUCUGAGCUCUAGAAAUAUGAGGAACAUCUGGGUACAAGCAGUCUGAGGAACGUCUGAGUUCUCGGAGUCUUAAGGAACGUCUGAGUUCUAGGAGUCUGAGGAACAUCUGAGUUCUAGGAGUCUGAGGAACGUCUGAGUUCUCGGAGUCUUAGGAGCGUCUGAGUUCUAGGAGUCUGAGGAACGUCUGAGUUCUAGGAGUCUGAGGAACGUCUGAGUUCUCGGAGUCUUAGGAGCGUCUGAGUUCUCGGAGUCUUAGGAGCGUCUGAGUUCUAGGAGUCUGAGGAACGUCUGAGUUCUCGGAGUCUUAGGAGCGUCUGAGUUCUAGGAGUCUGAGGAACGUCUGAGUUCUAGGAGUCUGAGGAACGUCUGAGUUCAAGGAGUCUGAGGAACGUCUGAGUUCUAGCAGUCUGAGGAAUGUCUGAGUUCUAGAAAUAUGAGGAACAUCUGGGUACAAGCAGUCUGAGGAACGUCUGAGUUCUCGGAGUCUUAAGGAAUGUCUGAGUUCUAGGAGUCUGAGGAACGUCUGAGUUCUAGGAGUCUGAGGAACGUCUGAGUUCUCGGAGUCUGAGGAAUGUCUGAGUUCCAGCAGUCUGAGGAACAUCUCAGUUCUAGGAUUCUGAGGAACGUCUGAGUUUGAGCAGUCUGAGGAAUGUCUGAGAUCUAGGACAGUGAAUAACAUCUGAGUUCUAGCAGUCUGAGGAACGUCUGAGUUCUUGGAUUCUGAGGAACGUCUGAGUUCUAGCAGUUUGAGGAACUUCUGAGGUCUAGGAGACUGAGGAACAUCUGAGUUCUAGGAGUCUGAGGAACGUCUGAGUACUAGGAGUCUGAGGAACGUCUGAGUUCUAGCAGUGUGAGGAAUGUCUGAGUUCUAGCAGUGUGAGGAAUGUCUGAGUUCCAGCAGUUUGAGGAACAUCUGCGGUCUUGCAGUGUGAGGAACGUCUGAGUUCUAGCAGUCUGAGGAACGUCUGAGUUCUAGCAGUCUGAGGAACGUCUGAGUUCUAGCAGUCUGAGGAACGUCUGAGUUCUAGCAGUGUCACGAACAUCUGCGGUCUACCAGUCUGAGGAACGUCUGAGUUCUAGCAGUCUGAGGAAUGUCUGAGUUCCAGGAAUCUGAGGAACGUCUGAGUUCUAGCAGUCUGAGGAACGUCUGAGAUCUAGCAGUCUGAGGAACGUCUGAGUUCUAGCAGUCUGAGGAACGUCUGAGUUCCAGGAAUCUGAGGAACGUCUGAGUUCUAGCAGUCUGAGGAAUGUCUGAGUUCCAGGAGUCUGAGGAACAUCUGAGUUCUAGGAUUCUGAAGAACGUCUGAGUUGUAGGAGACUGAGGAACAUCUGAGUUCUAAGAGUAUGAGGAAUGUCUGAGUUCUAGCAGUCUGAAGAACGUCUGAGUUCUAGGAUUCUGAGGAACGUCUGAGUUCUAGGAGUCUGAGGAACGUAUGAGUUCUAGCAGUAUGAGGAAUAUCUGAGUUCCAGCAGUUUGAGGAACAUCUGCGGUCUAGCAGUCUGAAGAACGUCUGAGUUCUAGGAGACUGAGGAACGUAUGAGUUCUAGCAGUAUGAGGAAUGUCUGAGUUCCAGCAGUUUGAGGAACAUCUGCGGUCUUGCAGUGUGAGGAACGUCUGAGUUCUAGCAGUCUGAGGAAUGUCUGAGUUCGAGCAGUCUGAGGACCGUCUGAGUUCAAGGAGUCUGAGGAACGUCUGAGUUCAAGGAGUCUGAGGAACGUCUGAGUUCUAGCAGUUUGAGGAACAUCUGAGGUCUCGCAUUCUGAGGAACGUCUCAGUUCUAGCAGUCUGAGGAACGUCUGAGUUCUAGGAUUCUGAGGAACAUCUGAGUUCUCGGAGUCUGAGGAACAUCUGAGAUCAAGCAGUCUGAGGAACGUCUGAGUUCUCGGAGUCUUAGGAGCGUCUGAGUUCUAGGAGUCUGAGGAACGUCUGAGUUCAAGGAGUCUGAGGAACGUCUGAGUUCUAGCAGUUUGAGGAACAUCUGCGGUCUAGCAGUCUGAGGAAUGUCUGAGUUCUAGAAAUAUGAGGAACAUCUGGGUACAAGCAGUCUGAGGAACGUCUGAGUUCUCGGAGUCUUAAGGAACGUCUGAGUUCUAGGAGUCUGAGGAACGUCUGAGUUCUAGGAGUCUGAGGAACGUCUGAGUUCUAAGAGUCUGAGGAACGUCUGAGUUCGAGCAGUCUGAGGAAUGUCUGAGAUCUUGGACACUGAAUAACAUCUGAGUUCUAGCAGUCUGAGGAACGUCUGAGUUCUAGGAUUCUGAGGAACGUCUGAGUUCCAGCAGUUUGAGGAACUUCUGAGGUCUAGGAGACUGAGGAACAUCUGAGUUCUCGGAGUCUGAGGAACGUCUGAGUACUAGGAGUCUGAGGAACGUCUGAGUUCUAGCAGUAUGAGGAACGUCUGAGUUCUAGCAGUGUCACGAACAUCUGCGGUCUCACAGUCUGAGGAACGUCUGAGUUCUAGCAGUCUGAGGAAUGUCUGAGUUCCAGGAAUCUGAGGAACGUCUGAGUUCUAGCAGUCUGAGGAACGUCUGAGAUCUAGCAGUCUGAGGAACGUCUGAGUUCUAGCAGUCUGAGGAACGUCUGAGUUCCAGGAAUCUGAGGAACGUCUGAGUUCUAGCAGUCUGAGGAACGUCUGAGUUCCAGGAAUCUGAGGAACGUCUGAGUUCUAGCAGUCUGAUGAAUGUCUGAGAUCUAGAAAUAUGAGGAACAUCUGGGUACAAGCAGUCUGAGGAACGUCUGAGUUCUCGGAGUCUUAAGGAACGUCUGAGUUCUAGGAGUCUGAGGAACGUCUGAGUUCUAGGAGUCUGAGGAACGUCUGAGUUCUCGGAGUCUUAGGAGCGUCUGAGUUCUAGGAGUCUGAGGAACGUCUGAGUUCUAGGAGUCUGAGGAACGUCUGAGUUCUCGGAGUCUUAGGAGCGUCUGAGUUCUCGGAGUCUUAGGAGCGUCUGAGUUCUAGGAGUCUGAGGAACGUCUGAGUUCUCGGAGUCUUAGGAGCGUCUGAGUUCUAGGAGUCUGAGGAACGUCUGAGUUCUAGGAGUCUGAGGAACGUCUGAGUUCAAGGAGUCUGAGGAACGUCUGACUUCUAGCAGUCUGAGGAAUGUCUGAGUUCUAGAAAUAUGAGGAACAUCUGGGUUGUACCCAGAUGUUCCUCAUCUGGGUGGAGGAACAUCUGAGUUCUAAGAGUAUGAGGAAUGUCUGAGUUCUAGCAGUCUGAAGAACGUCUGAGUUCUAGGAUUCUGAGGAACGUCUGAGUUCUAGGAGUCUGAGGAACGUAUGAGUUCUAGCAGUAUGAGGAAUAUCUGAGUUCCAGCAGUUUGAGGAACAUCUGCGGUCUAGCAGUCUGAAGAACGUCUGAGUUCUAGGAGACUGAGGAACGUAUGAGUUCUAGCAGUAUGAGGAAUGUCUGAGUUCCAGCAGUUUGAGGAACAUCUGCGGUCUUGCAGUGUGAGGAACGUCUGAGUUCUAGCAGUCUGAGGAAUGUCUGAGGUCGAGCAGUCUGAGGACCGUCUGAGUUCAAGGAGUCUGAGGAACGUCUGAGUUCAAGGAGUCUGAGGAACGUCUGAGUUCUAGCAGUUUGAGGAACAUCUGAGGUCUCGCAUUCUGAGGAACGUCUCAGUUCUAGCAGUCUGAAGAACGUCUGAGUUCUAGGAUUCUGAGGAACAUCUGAGUUCUCGGAGUCUGAGGAACAUCUGAGAUCAAGCAGUCUGAGGAACGUCUGAGUUCUCGGAGUCUUAGGAGCGUCUGAGUUCUAGGAGUCUGAGGAACGUCUGAGUUCAAGGAGUCUGAGGAACGUCUGAGUUCUAGCAGUUUGAGGAACAUCUGCGGUCUAGCAGUCUGAGGAAUGUCUGAGUUCUAGAAAUAUGAGGAACAUCUGGGUACAAGCAGUCUGAGGAACGUCUGAGUUCUCGGAGUCUUAAGGAACGUCUGAGUUCUAGGAGUCUGAGGAACGUCUGAGAUCUAGCAGUCUGAGGAACGUCUGAGUUCUAGCAGUCUGAGGAACGUCUGAGUUCAAGGAAUCUGAGGAACGUCUGAGUUCUAGCAGUCUGAGGAACGUCUGAGUUCCAGGAAUCUGAGGAACGUCUGAGUUCUAGCAGUCUGAUGAAUGUCUGAGAUCUAGAAAUAUGAGGAAUAUCUGGGUACAAGCAGUCUGAGGAACGUCUGAGUUCUCGGAGUCUUAAGGAACGUCUGAGUUCUAGGAGUCUGAGGAACGUCUGAGUUCUAGGAGUCUGAGGAACGUCUGAGUUCUCGGAGUCUUAGGAGCGUCUGAGUUCUAGGAGUCUGAGGAACGUCUGAGUUCUAGGAGUCUGAGGAACGUCUGAGUUCUCGGAGUCUUAGGAGCGUCUGAGUUCUCGGAGUCUUAGGAGCGUCUGAGUUCUAGGAGUCUGAGGAACGUCUGAGUUCUCGGAGUCUUAGGAGCGUCUGAGUUCUAGGAGUCUGAGGAACGUCUGAGUUCUAGGAGUCUGAGGAACGUCUGAGUUCAAGGAGUCUGAGGAACGUCUGAGUUCUAGCAGUCUGAGGAAUGUCUGAGUUCUAGAAAUAUGAGGAACAUCUGGGUACAAGCAGUCUGAGGAACGUCUGAGUUCUCGGAGUCUUAAGGAACGUCUGAGUUCUAGGAGUCUGAGGAACAUCUGAGUUCUAGGAGUCUGAGGAACGUCUGAGUUCUAAGAGUCUGAGGAAUGUCUGAGUUCUAGCAGUCUGAGGAACAUCUCAGUUCUAGGAUUCUGAGGAACGUCUGAGUUCUAGCAGUUUGAGGAACUUCUGAGUUCUCGGAGUCUUAAGGAACGUCUGAGUUCUAGGAGUCUGAGGAACGUCUGAGUUCUAGGAGUCUGAGGAACGUCUGAGUUCUAAGAGUCUGAGGAAUGUCUGAGUUCUAGCAGUCUGAGGAACAUCUCAGUUCUAGGAUUCUGAGGAACGUCUGAGUUUGAGCAGUCUGAGGAAUGUCUGAGAUCUAGGACAGUGAAUAACAUCUGAGUUCUAGCAGUCUGAGGAACGUCUGAGUUCUUGGAUUCUGAGGAACGUCUGAGUUCUAGCAGUUUGAGGAACUUCUGAGGUCUAGGAGACUGAGGAACAUCUGAGUUCUAGGAGUCUGAGGAACGUCUGAGUACUAGGAGUCUGAGGAACGUCUGAGUUCUAGCAGUAUGAGGAACGUCUGAGUUCUAGCAGUGUCACGAACAUCUGCGGUCUCACAGUCUGAGGAACGUCUGAGUUCUAGCAGUCUGAGGAAUGUCUGAGUUCCAGGAAUCUGAGGAACGUCUGAGUUCUAGCAGUCUGAGGAACGUCUGAGAUCUAGCAGUCUGAGGAACGUCUGAGUUCUAGCAGUCUGAGGAACGUCUGAGUUCCAGGAAUCUGAGGAACGUCUGAGUUCUAGCAGUCUGAGGAACGUCUGAGUUCCAGGAAUCUGAGGAACGUCUGAGUUCUAGCAGUCUGAUGAAUGUCUGAGAUCUAGAAAUAUGAGGAACAUCUGGGUACAAGCAGUCUGAGGAACGUCUGAGUUCUCGGAGUCUUAAGGAACGUCUGAGUUCAAGGAGUCUGAGGAACGUCUGAGUUCUAGGAGUCUGAGGAACGUCUGAGUUCUCGGAGUCUUAGGAGCGUCUGAGUUCUAGGAGUCUGAGGAACGUCUGAGUUCUAGGAGUCUGAGGAACGUCUGAGUUCUCGGAGUCUUAGGAGCGUCUGAGUUCUCGGAGUCUUAGGAGCGUCUGAGUUCUAGGAGUCUGAGGAACGUCUGAGUUCUCGGAGUCUUAGGAGCGUCUGAGUUCUAGGAGUCUGAGGAACGUCUGAGUUCUAGGAGUCUGAGGAACGUCUGAGUUCAAGGAGUCUGAGGAACGUCUGAGUUCUAGCAGUCUGAGGAAUGUCUGAGUUCUAGAAAUAUGAGGAACAUCUGGGUACAAGCAGUCUGAGGAACGUCUGAGUUCUCGGAGUCUUAAGGAACGUCUGAGUUCUAGGAGUCUGAGGAACGUCUGAGUUCUAGGAGUCUGAGGAACGUCUGAGUUCUAAGAGUCUGAGGAAUGUCUGAGUUCUAGCAGUCUGAGGAACAUCUCAGUUCUAGGAUUCUGAGGAACGUCUGAGUUCUAGCAGUUUGAGGAACUUCUGAGUUCUCGGAGUCUUAAGGAACGUCUGAGUUCUAGGAGUCUGAGGAACGUCUGAGUUCUAAGAGUCUGAGGAAUGUCUGAGUUCUAGCAGUCUGAGGAACAUCUCAGUUCUAGGAUUCUGAGGAACGUCUGAGUUUGAGCAGUCUGAGGAAUGUCUGAGAUCUAGGACAGUGAAUAACAUCUGAGUUCUAGCAGUCUGAGGAACGUCUGAGUUCUUGGAUUCUGAGGAACGUCUGAGUUCUAGCAGUUUGAGGAACUUCUGAGGUCUAGGAGACUGAGGAACAUCUGAGUUCUAGGAGUCUGAGGAACGUCUGAGUACUAGGAGUCUGAGGAACGUCUGAGUUCUAGCAGUAUGAGGAAUGUCUGAGUUCUAGCAGUGUGAGGAAUGUCUGAGUUCCAGCAGUUUGAGGAACAUCUGCGGUCUUGCAGUGUGAGGAACGUCUGAGUUCUAGCAGUCUGAGGAACGUCUGAGUUCUAGCAGUCUGAGGAACGUCUGAGUACUAGGAGUCUGAG